CACUCCCUCUGCACCAUGGAACCGAAGAUGGACUAUGGCAUGCUCUCUUCAAUAGAGUGUUCAUCUCUUGUUCCUUCUCCAUCAUCAAUUUUCAUGUUAGAAUCAGGGUCAUUGCUGACAGACCAUGAACCUCAAGGACAGCGGCAAAAAGGUAUCAAGUGAACACUUGCAUAUAAAUAUUCUUGGUUAAGUGUAUCAUGUACGUUUUAUUUUGCGAGUAAUAAUGGUCCUAAGCUGCUACUCAUACGUGGAAGGAAAUGAUGUCUUAUAUAACCAAUUGUCUUACACCUGAUAGAAAAAGAUAUUGGAAGGGCUCAUAUCAAAAUUGAGAUCCCUAGAUCCACCAUGUCAAUGCACCACUGCUUGAUUUUUACUCUCUCUCUCCAAGCGCGGACACUGUUUUUCUGAAGAAACAAGCUCUAAGCUGAUAAUUCUGGUUGAUCAUGUCUUCCAGUUUGUUUAGCGAGCAAUCUCAGCAUGCAAGGUGAACAAGCAAUGAUCCAAAGAUUAUUUCGGCUGAAGAGAGGU
Molecule: long non-coding RNA, 528 nt
Organism: Tarenaya hassleriana
Lineage: Eukaryota; Viridiplantae; Streptophyta; Magnoliopsida; Brassicales; Cleomaceae
Exons: 3
Source: RefSeq, a predicted model, not a curated record